UUUUGAUUGUUGUACAGAAACC
This 22-nucleotide microRNA is filed under the name Drosophila virilis. Its description in RNAcentral is "dvi-miR-315b". Its record names the gene dvi-miR-315b. The record is from miRBase by way of RNAcentral. Lineage: Eukaryota; Metazoa; Arthropoda; Insecta; Diptera; Drosophilidae.